GGGGUCGACCUGGUUUCGACAGGGGUUGCAAAGCAGAGCAGGGCAUACCGAGGCCAGACUACCUCGUAAAUACAAUCUGAAAUAUAUAACUGCAAACGAUAACUCGUACGCAUUAGCAGCUUAAUUGCUCGCUAGCUCUUAACCGCUUCUUCCCUAGGGCGGGCUGGUAACAGCUUAGAGUCAUUUAUAGGGAAUCGUCUCAAGUUGGGUUACUUAGCUUUGGACUAAAUAAUAGGUAACUCGUUUUGCCGCAGCGUGUGCGUCCGCGUCGUCAAGAUUAAAUUAAAUGGCAGCACUAAGUAUGUAGAACUGUCUGUAGAGUGCUCUUGGACGCGGGUUCGAUUCCCGCCGACUCCACCA
Molecule: transfer-messenger RNA, 360 nt
Filed under: Affinundibacterium amnicola
Lineage: Bacteria; Pseudomonadati; Pseudomonadota; Betaproteobacteria; Burkholderiales; Oxalobacteraceae
Description: Undibacterium amnicola Standard tmRNA
Rfam family: transfer-messenger RNA
About the family: Bacterial tmRNA, also known as 10Sa RNA or SsrA, is named for its dual tRNA and mRNA-like properties. Its role is to liberate the mRNA from a stalled ribosome.
Source: RNAcentral